AUUGAACGCUGGCGGCAGGCCUAACACAUGCAAGUCGAGCGGAUGAAGGGAGCUUGCUCCUGGAUUCAGCGGCGGACGGGUGAGUAAUGCCUAGGAAUCUGCCUGGUAGUGGGGGAUAACGUCCGGAAACGGGCGCUAAUACCGCAUACGUCCUGAGGGAGAAAGUGGGGGAUCUUCGGACCUCACGCUAUCAGAUGAGCCUAGGUCGGAUUAGCUAGUUGGUGGGGUAAAGGCCUACCAAGGCGACGAUCCGUAACUGGUCUGAGAGGAUGAUCAGUCACACUGGAACUGAGACACGGUCCAGACUCCUACGGGAGGCAGCAGUGGGGAAUAUUGGACAAUGGGCGAAAGCCUGAUCCAGCCAUGUCGCGUGUGUGAAGAAGGUCUUCGGAUUGAAAGCACUUUAAGUUGGGAGGAAGGGCAGUAAGUUAAUACCUUGCUGUUUUGACGUUACCAACAGAAUAAGCACCGGCUAACUUCGUG
Molecule: ribosomal RNA, 483 nt
Filed under: uncultured bacterium
Lineage: Bacteria
Description: partial 16S ribosomal RNA
Rfam family: Bacterial small subunit ribosomal RNA
Source: RNAcentral